GGGUGGAAUGUGGAGGAUGGACAUUUUAAAAAGUAGCUGAUUAAGUAGUAAGUUAACUGAAAAAGGAGUAAAUUAAGUAGCUGAAUUGUCAAGUUUUCCCUUCUAUAGAUAUGGACAAGAUGCAGAAGAGAAAUCGAGGCAGUUACUCGGAGACAGACGGCUUUCUACCUCUGCCCACAAGACCUAUAGGUUUGCAGCCAGCAUCUCAUGAACCGCCGAACUGAGCCCCCACAUCAGGCUGAUUACAUGUGUUCACCCUUGAGGUGAUAUGAUCUCGUGGCCCCCGGCACGUCUGCACUGAGGCACAAACCGGACGCCUGUAAAGAGCUCUGCAGGCUCCAUGGGCCUCACUGCUGAAGGCAUGAAAAUGGCCAGGCAGCUUAACAUCACAGACUUUUCACAUAUCCUGGUCUCAGAUAUCAAAACAUGACAAGAAAGGCUGUUUUUUAGAGGUAUUUCCUGAUGAAUGAAACCUAGGAAGUACUGGAAAUCUUAGGGACGUCUGAUCUUGUAGGGAUUUUUCCAAACACCACCCCCUUCUUCCUCUUUGCCAAAGAGAAGAUCAUUCUCAUUGGGGCAGAGGACAGAGAGACAGCAAGUAGCAGAAGAGUGCUGUGGCCUCUGCUUCCUGAAAUCCUUCCUGGGAUAGUUCAGCCAUGGGAGUGGGCUUCUAGUUUGCUCUUCUAACUAAAAAACCAUCAGCCCUGUCUCUGUGUGAUGCUCCCAUCACAGCAGCUGAUGUCCUCCAUGUCACACGGGGGCACUAUGAAGUGACCUGGGUCUGAAGAGGAGCUUGGCUGAAAUGGAAAAGAACAGGAUGUGGCUGUUGGAGUCUUUUUGUAAAAAAUAAUGACAACAUGACUGUUGUUAAAUGAACACCGAAGAAAUGAUUAAGCUCCGUAUUCAAAAACCUUUUGAUAUUGUGCGAGACUAAAACAACAAAAAUCCCCAGUAAAGUGUUGCUGGUGUGAUUAGUCAAGGGCCACACCACCAUAGCCCUGCUGAGCUUGGUCUGGUCAAUGGAGUCUUGCCAACGGCACGUCCGAAGCCUCUCACCGGUCUCCCCCUCAGGCCCCACUUGGGCUUCUGCAGUACCUCGUCCUGUCUUCCUCACUGGCAAGCUUUCUCCACGCUCCACAGGCAGCCAGCUAGCCAGACACUUCUGAAUGCAGAUGCUUUCAUGGCCCCCUUGUAAUGACUGAGUGGUUCCCCGCCUGUACAGAAAGUGAAAGCCCCAAUGUUCUCUGUCCUGUUGCCCUUCUGCUUCACAUUCUUCGGAGAACUUAGCUUCCUGUAUGCUUUCAAUCCUCUUUAGUUUUGUCUGUUCUCUUCCCUCUUCCCCUAAUCUCUCAGGGCUUUUUAAACUUGGCCUAAGUGUCAAGACCUCGAAGACAACUUCUUAGAAAGUGCAGCCAUCCUGGUGCUAGAACAUGCAGCAUGGCCUGACUGCUGGGAGCACAGGCUGGUGCCUGAUGAUGUGGGCUGUCACUCUGACCUGGCCACUGACCGUGUUACUUAGGCCCACUAUUUUGUUCACAUCAUGCUUCAAUUUCUCAUCUAUGAAAUGACAGGAGUCAGGCGUACCUCACUGGCUUACUGUGAAGGUUGCAUUCAAACAGCUCCUGGCAUGGAGCAAGUAUGUAAUACAUUUUACUAGCUAUUACAACACUUAGAGCGUUCUUUUCAUUGGUGUCUCAUUUGCCAACCCUAAGAUCUCUUGAGGUUGGGGAGUAGCUCCAGUCAUCUGUGAAACCUCAGAGCAGGUGGAGAGCAGGUACUUAUAAACAUGCCUGAGGUGAACAUAAAGCCUGGAAGACAGAUCUGGAAACAGCAUUCCAGGGAGAGAUUAUGACACGAGAACAUAAGAAGGAAUCUGUGUGAGAGGACGGAGGAAGCAAAACAGGGAGAAAACAAGGCUGCAGAAGAAAGGGAAUGCUGAUGGUCUGGGGCCAAGAGAAAUCCCAAAUGGCUCUGUCAAAGGGCUGCAUGGAGAACAUAGCAGCAAGAUGAUGAUGCAAGAGAAUCUGGCACAGAAAAUGCCUGUUGGCGACGAGACUGGUUAGAGAAAACAGCCAUUAUUCAUUAGUCGCUGGAAGAGCUACUAUUCCCAAACCCUUCUUCAUUAUAAAGAAAAGGCGAUUUUAUGAUCACAAAGAGGCCAUGUCCUUUUUUUAUUGACAAUUCAAUCUCUACAUACAUACAGUAUUGCACAGAUAAUAAGUGGGCUGACAAUCAUUAACAAUAUGGACUCAGGAGCACGUACAUACAGUUACUGCUCUGGGCGGUGGUGUACUCUGUGCCAGCUACUUCAGUAAACACGAGGGACAUAAAUAGGACGGCUACUUCAAUACAAAGUCAGCUUU
This is a long non-coding RNA of Lutra lutra (Eurasian river otter), 2363 nucleotides long. RefSeq lists it as uncharacterized. The transcript has 3 exons. NCBI's taxonomy places the organism in Eukaryota, Metazoa, Chordata, Mammalia, Carnivora, Mustelidae. The record is from RefSeq and is a predicted model, not a curated record.